UCGACAUUUGCAAGCAGGAAAUUAGAUAUCGAGCAUAUACACAAACACGCGAUAUUAGCAAAAAUCCGAAGCUAGUGUUUUAUUAAACACGCGUUACUAUAUUACAAAUUUAGAAUUCCCAACACUGAGGGAUCUCCUUGUAUAUCCACCAAAUCUUCUAUUCCUACUUCUUUAUACCUAUCUGCCAACACCCCAUAGAAAUUGGGAAAGAAAGGGAAAUAAAAGAAAAAGGAUAUGAAAUGUGUGGGGCUGUGCAAAAUCUGCAACAGCCUCCAACUCCCUCCAAUCCCCUUUUCCCUACACCCUACCACCUAUUCCUUAGCACACUUAUUCCCCCAAUCCCCUUCACUCUACCUCUUGUAUCUAUUCUCUAGCACACUCAAAUGUGCAGGCAACAUUCCUCAUUUUGGCCUCAAACUUCAUCCAGCAAAUCACUUUCAUUAUCUUCCAUUCCACACAUAGAAUCCACCGAAGGGUAAGCUGCAUUCACUGUUCUGCCAAAACUCAAGGGGUAAGCUUCGCUUUAACUCUUUUCCUUUCAGUCAUUAGUUUCACCUGCAUUAACACAAAGAGCAACAACCUUGAAUAUUUCAGAUUCUCCCAAUCCAUUUAAUCCAACAACACCAGACAGCCAACAAAGCAAACACUCAAGGUAUUAUUCCUAUUUCAUACUCAAUUUAGCCGCACUCAUAACCGGUACAUGGUCAGUUAAGAAACACCAUAAAUAGGAGAAUAAGCAUGAUAGACAAACAAUACCAAUGUAUAGUAUGAGGAUGUACAUAAGUCAGUUUACUUCCAUCAAGAACCAACAACAGCCUAUGACCUUUAUACGAGCUAAAUGCAGUAAGGAUUUCCUUGAUACAACAGCAAGUUCAGUGCUUAGUGCAAUUUAUUGCAUAAUCCUUAUAUGAAAACCAAGACUUCACUGUAGAACUAUAGAUUGACUUAGCUUUUAGAGAGGGCGGGGGCUACUGCCCUGUUUGUUUGGGCCGAAGGACGUGAGUGGGCGGCAACUCGCGGGGACAGCAGCGUCGGCGGCGUCGAGCUGUGAAAGGCAGACAACUCCCGACCUCGGCGAUGGCCCUCGCCGAUUCUGGAUUGCAGCAGCAGCGGAGUACCCUUCGCCCGAAUCCAGCAGCAGCGUGGCGAGGCUCGAACCGUCGACCCCGGGGAAAACGGCAACGGCGGAGCUUUCCCUACUCGCUGGAGAAACGCAACGGCUGCGGCGAGAUUGAGAGUGCGCCGAGAAUAACUAGGGCUCGACCUCUGCCUCGGCUGUGUGUGUGCGUGUUUCCGGAGCUUCCAGAGGAGAAUUAGGGCUCAAAUUUUAGUGGCCUCCCCUAAAUCUGCGAGACAGCAGCAGAAGCUUGUGCCGGCGACGCGAAGGCGCCGGAUCUCAAGGGGUGGCGGCGGCGAUUUUGGAUUUUGGGAAAUUAGGGCUCCUCAUUUGGGGAUCCCCCAUUAAAUUGAGGAAGGAGGGAGGACGAACGAAGACGGCGGCCUCAGAGACGCAGACGACGGCCGUUCGCCGGACACCCAGUUGCAGCGGCGACGACGACCUUCAAUUUGUGAGUUAGGGCUCGAUUAAGACCUUCAAUUCGUGAGUUAGGGCUGACGAUAUGAAUUGAGGAAGAAACGAGACGAAGGGAGGAGGCUCGGCUGGCCGUCGUCCUCGCCGGAGCAGUUCGCGGCGGAGCUCGCGAAGAGAAAGGACGGGCGAGAGAGAGAGAGAGAGGUCUUGAGCGGCGUCUGAAUUUGAAGAGAGUGAGAGAGAACCGAUUGUAGAGGGGGAGGAUUUGGGCCUCCUCAUUUAUUUUAUUUGGGCCGAAUUCCUUUAAUUAUUGGGCCUCUACAUCUUAUUUAAUUUAGCCCAGAUUAAUUUUCAUUUUAUAUCUUGGGCUGGUUAUUUUAUUGUGGGCUGGAGUUUCUAUUUUUUUUAUGAGCCUUAUAUGAUUUAUUUAAUUGAGCCCAACGAGUUAUUUAUUUGUUUGGGCUCUUCCUAAAUAUUGGAGUCGGGCCUUGUAUUAUUUUUCUAUCGGGCCGCUUCUUAUUAAUUAAUGGAGCCCAAUUAUUUAUUCGAUUGGACUACUUAACUAACUAAACCUGGAUAGUCAAUUCAAUCACUUGGGCCAUUAUAUAUUUUUCCUUUGGGCCUUCCCCUUGUUUUUGUAAUUGGGCUAAGUUUAAAUUAUUUUACUUUAGGCCCAACAUUAAUUAUUUCAGUUGGACUGCUAUUAUCUUAUUUGGACCCAGAUUUAUUUAAUUAUUUGAGCCCAAUAAUCUCAUCUCAGUUGGGCCUUGUAAUAAUUAUUCAGCCCAAAUUUUAUUAUUUUACUUGGGCUCCAGAUUUAUAUAUAUAUAUAUAUGAAUUGUAAUUAUUUAUUUUAAUUCAAACCCACUCUUAAUUAAUUAUUAGGCUGUAUUAUGUUGAGCCUUUUAAUUAUUUGACUUAUAUUAUUAUUACUUCGAUUCAUGUUUGUUUAGCCGAGUUAAUUAGACGCAGCUGCCCAAUUACGAUUAAUUCUUACGAGAUUGCUAAGCGAAUGAGCCGACUUAGCUAUUUUCUUUUAAUCGAUUAAAUAGAGCGAGAUUUUUUUUACCAUGUAAGUUAGAACACCCUAAGACGAACGGGUUAGUCAUAAUUAUUUAUCCGAUCGUACGAGACGAGCUUCAGUUAGUUAUCUUGCUUAAUCAAUCCGAUAGUUGGGAAUUAAUAAUAGAAUUAUCAAGAAUAAUAAAUCAUGCAUAAGAGAGUCAUGCAUAUUUAAUUUCGUAUUCUCAUUAUUUGAGAAUUCUGCUCGAGCAAAUAUCUUAUUUAAAUUCUCGCAAUAAAGGUCAAGCGCGAGAGUAAUACCUAGACGAGAGCUACUGCACCACAACUAGAGCUAUAAUCAGGUGGGCUUAUUUUUUAAAUGUAUGCUUGAGUUACUAAGCUCUAAAUUUUCAUGAAUUGAAAACUGUUUAUCCAAUAAAUAUUUUUGUGCGCUCUGUUAUGUUUAAGGCUCGCAAUUCAUGGAUCGAUCGAGGUUCUCUUAUGACCUAACACGUUGUUUGAGAAUUGUGUACACUUGUUAGUUGUUUCGGUGGGUUGAUCUCCAUCGGACACUAAUUCAUGUCAGAGGCGUUAUAAGGGGCUUGGCUGGAUGUGUUCCGAGCAUGUACAUGUAAGGCCUGCCUGGGUAGCGUCCCGAGGUCAAUUCAACUUGUUGAGUUACGUCCUCAGGGCAAGUAUCUGGGAAUGAGGGAUCCGUCGGUGGCUAAAAGGUCCGGAUCACACGAGUAACAGAACAGAGUGUGACAACAGCGCGCUAAUAAAAUAAAUGUUUAACAUGCUUAGAAGUUCUUUCUUUAAAACCUUCUAAGUUAUGUCAUGAAUGAUUGGAUAAACUGCUCUUAUGAAUUGUGAAAUUUUUAAAAAGUUGCAGCCCACUAAGUACAUUAGUACUUAGCCCAAUAUUUUCAAAUGUUUUUCAGGUUCAUUGGCUGGUGCUGACGGGGAGAGCUGAGGCUAGGGUUCAACUCCGUAUUUUGACUUCCGCUGUAGUACUAGCCUUUAACUGUCUUUCGUUUUCUUGACUUAAGACCUUUAUGUUAUGACUCUAAACGAUAUCUUUUGUUGAGCCUAGACUUUUGACUCUCAAGUAUUUUGAUUAAGAAAUGUCGGUUAUCUGAAGCAUGAAACUAAACUUAUGUGAUCCUGAAUUCGAAUAUUGUCAUUUGAUUGGCAACUCUUAAGCCCUUUCAAUUUACCUCCUUUCAUUUUAUCUCUUUGGAAUAUGAAUACCCAAUUUAAUGGGUAGAUUGUCAAGUUUAUUCUGGUUGAUUAAGACUUUCC
This 3835-nucleotide long non-coding RNA is filed under the name Salvia miltiorrhiza (redroot sage). RNAcentral's name for it is "long non-coding RNA (SMIL_LNC007422)". The record is from RNAcentral. Lineage: Eukaryota; Viridiplantae; Streptophyta; Magnoliopsida; Lamiales; Lamiaceae.